AGUUAUUAACAUGGAAGUCAUGUGAUCUUUUUUCGAGUAUCUUGAAAAAUUGAAUGGAAAGAGUUUCAAAGGGCAAAGCCAAUUAUAGUUGAUCCGAGAUUGUACGCGACUCAAAAGGUGUCCAAAAUGAAGAAGGAGGUGAAGAAAGAAGUGAUGAAAUUGACCUUAUUUGAGAAGAUUUUUAAAUUGUUGAUGCUUUAAUAGCGAUCUUUUCGAUAUUGAAUUUUUCAUGAAACUUAUCGUCACUUGAAAUUUAUACUAU
This is a long non-coding RNA of Capsicum annuum, 262 nucleotides long. RefSeq lists it as uncharacterized. Lineage: Eukaryota; Viridiplantae; Streptophyta; Magnoliopsida; Solanales; Solanaceae. The record is from RefSeq and is a predicted model, not a curated record. The transcript has 3 exons.